This is a long non-coding RNA of Brassica napus (rape), 909 nucleotides long. RefSeq lists it as uncharacterized. The record is from RefSeq and is a predicted model, not a curated record. Lineage: Eukaryota; Viridiplantae; Streptophyta; Magnoliopsida; Brassicales; Brassicaceae. The transcript has 3 exons.
AUUCAAAUAGCAGUAGUGAAGUGAAGAUAUGAAGUAAUAUCAACCAAAAUUAAGAAAAGUCUUUUAAAAGCAGAGAUAAUCACAUGGGACUCUCUUGAACAUGGCAAACAACCAACAAUUUUGCCAGACCCGAAUUUCUUAAACAGAAGUUUCAAUGAGACCGGCUUAUCGUUCUUCCAAGAAAGUAAAGGACUAUGACAAGCUUGAAGCUGAAGUGAAGAAGAAUAGAAUGAUGAUAAGCUUGAAGGAGACGCUGCUUUGAACAAGUUCUUCCGUGAGAUAUAAUUGAAUUCUGAUGAGGAUAUGAGGAGUACUAGAGCAAAUCAUUUUUUUGCACAAUCAACAGGUGGAAUCUAAUGGGAGAGUGCUUUCAAUAGACUGGAAAGAUGUUGGUGCUAAGAAAAUCUAGAGCACUCUUCAUGAUGAUCUGACGCUCAAGACAUGGGAAAUAUGAUCUUAUAUGAUGUGUGGGUUUUACCUUAAUCUAGACAGAACUCGAAGCCUUGGUCUUAAGGUCUGGUUUCUAUACUUUAUGGACUCAAGGUACUUUGUAUUUUCCAUAACUCAUAUUGUUUAUACGAAACACUGAAAUUUUUAAUCUAAACGUUCUAAUGUAUUUUUUGUUAUAUGAAUAUAGUACAAAUAUUAAUAUGUAACAUCGAAUCUUUCAUACUAACCACAUACAUGUAACAUAAGUAUUUUAUAGUUGUAAAUAUGUAAUUAUCAAUUUAAUAUUAAUGUUAAUGCCCGCAUAUGCGUGCGGGCGGUCCCCCUAGUAGAUAUUAUUGAAGAAGUGAUUUUCUACAUACAAUCACUUUCAUAAACAUGACUAUUAAUGACAUCAACAAUUAUAUUUCAUGUUGAUUUAUAUUUAAUAUUGAUUUAUAUAAUUUGCUAUUAAUGACAUGG